AAACAGGCUUUUCUCUCACCUUAGCUCUCCACGUCCUUUUUUAGGGGUGGGCAUUCGUUGACACGUGUCGAGAUCUAAGUGGGUGUAUGUUUUUUUUAAGCGAGCUGUCAAAAUCUGUGAACAUCUUCUGGGCUAUAUGUUAUUUAUUUGACACUUUAAGCCCAAACUUAGAAACCCACCAAUGCAUUAGGGCUUUUUUCAUCUUCUUCUUACGGCUCACCGUGGACGAAGAAAACACAGAGAAACUUGAAUCACCGUCUUGAACAUAACGUUUUCAUCAUCCAUAACUCUGUUCUUAACUCCACCUCCCCCCUUUUAAUUCGCUCCUCCCACUUGAAGUAAUCAAUAUAACUCUUCGUAUUCUACCUUAACCGGCUUCAGCCUCAGAUAUAAAUACGGCAUCUCACCUUCCUGCGAUGCGCACCUCAUCUCAAACGAAAUUUAGCAGCAAACUCUUUCCUAGCAAAUUCGAUCUGAGAGCUGGCCGAUACUCCAAUACUGCAAAGGUCCGUCUGGUUUGGUUUUGGGAGGCUAUGAAUAUCAACAAGGGAGGGGAACUUAUGAGUGUUGACAUGUUGCUCAUCCAUGAGAAUGCAAGAAGAAAAAAGAUCAGCAAGAGAAUGAAUAUACUUCAGGAUAUAGUUACUGGUUGCAACCGGAUAACAGGGAAAGCAGCACUGCUUGAUGAAAUUAUAGAAUAUGUGCAGACAAGUUGAGUUCUUUUCCAUGAAGCUGGCUACUAUAAAUUCAAGUUUGGAGUCAAACCCUGAUGCUGCUUUAUCUAUAGAGCCGGGAGAGUCGUUAACACAGUCUCUUACGCAAUAGCUUGCUUAUGGUAAAGACUUCUGUCAUGAAUAUAUUAUCAUGCCAAGAACAUGCCUAGAUUCUCAGACACGCAAUCUCCCUCAAGUGAUGGAUUUGUUCAAGCCAAGGUAAUUAGUAGUUAAUGUCAUAGAUUCUGAAGACGAUUUGACAACGCAUGUGCUCAAAUAUUUUUUUGUUUCUGUUUGGAUUUUCUGAUACACGGAUCCUGAAAAAUUGAUCUACAAAGUAAUUUUCAAAUGGGUUUUGGAGAUGUCCAGCAACAGAGUAGCAACAACAGUUGUUCUGAGGCAACAUUACAGAUGAAGCCUCAGCCAUGUGAAGAAGGUGAUCCAGUGGGCAACAUAGGGAGAAUAAACACACGCUCUUUGUUUAAAAGUUGUGUUGACCACAUGGUGAUAUGUCUCCACUUUUUUUUAAACCGAUUACUCUCCACGUUGAUUGAUAAUUCCCCAUGCUUAAAUGAUAGAAAAGAAUGCAUCACUGAUAUACAUAAGAUA
Long non-coding RNA from Brassica rapa (field mustard), 1322 nucleotides. RefSeq lists it as uncharacterized. Lineage: Eukaryota; Viridiplantae; Streptophyta; Magnoliopsida; Brassicales; Brassicaceae. The record is from RefSeq and is a predicted model, not a curated record.